AUCCAGCUGACGAGUCCCAAAUAGAAAAAAAACGCACGUCCUGGAU
Molecule: non-coding RNA, 46 nt
Filed under: Schistosoma bovis
Lineage: Eukaryota; Metazoa; Platyhelminthes; Trematoda; Strigeidida; Schistosomatidae
Also listed under: 1 other name
Source: RNAcentral